UCUAUGUUUGACAUGCAUUCAUAAAUUUCCAUUGCAUAUUUUAUUUCCUGUUUUGUUGUAUUGUUUUAUGUAUCUAUUCUUCCAUUUCUUUGAGUUCAAUAGCAUGAGCUGCAUUUUAUCUAGUGCAGAGGAAUUACAUUAUAAUAAUUGAAAAAGGUGAAGCAAGAAGGUCAUCUGCCUUUGCCAAUACUGGUUAGACACCCAAUUCAAAAGCUUUUUCGUGUAUGGAAUGUAAUUACACAACAGAAUGUUAAGGUUCCCUCCAGUACCAAAAGGAGCAAACAACCUCAAUCUUCUCAUGUUGAUGUAAAAAAGCUCCAAAACAUAAAUGUCGAACGCAUAACUGUCACUUUGUCAUUCAUCAUGGUUUUCAGGUAUUCUGGUAAACAUUUUCAUCUCAAAUAGGAUUUGGGCAGAUUUAAUGGUA
Mangifera indica (mango) is the source of this 427-nucleotide long non-coding RNA. RefSeq lists it as uncharacterized. The transcript is spliced from 2 exons. NCBI's taxonomy places the organism in Eukaryota, Viridiplantae, Streptophyta, Magnoliopsida, Sapindales, Anacardiaceae. The record is from RefSeq and is a predicted model, not a curated record.